AGCAGCAAGUCGGCGUGGAAGG
Molecule: microRNA, 22 nt
Filed under: Petromyzon marinus (sea lamprey)
Lineage: Eukaryota; Metazoa; Chordata; Hyperoartia; Petromyzontiformes; Petromyzontidae
Description: pma-miR-4546
Source: miRBase by way of RNAcentral